UCGCCGCGGGAAUACGAAGGGUGCAAGCGUUAAUCGGAAUUACUGGGCGUAAAGCGUGCGUAGGCGGUGAGUUAAGUCUGCUGUGAAAUCCCCGGGCUCAACCUGGGAAUGGCAGUGGAUACUGGCUCGCUAGAGUGUGUCAGAGGAUGGUGGAAUUCCCGGUGUAGCGGUGAAAUGCGUAGAGAUCGGGAGGAACAUCAGUGGCGAAGGCGGCCAUCUGGGACAACACUGACGCUGAGGCACGAAAGCGUGGGGAGCAAACAGGAUUAGAUACCCCCGUAGUCCCUGUCUCUUAUACACA
Molecule: ribosomal RNA, 301 nt
Filed under: uncultured bacterium
Lineage: Bacteria
Description: partial 16S ribosomal RNA
Rfam family: Bacterial small subunit ribosomal RNA
Source: RNAcentral